CCCAGGAGAGGCAUUUGCUUAUCUCUCCACACAGAACACCCAGAGUCUUCAGAGGGGUCAGCGUGUGGUGGGAAGGGGUUCAGGAGGCUUAGCUUCCUUUAGAGAGUUCACCCGGCUUGUCUGGGGAAGAAGAGGCGAGCUGGCUACCGGUGUGGUUAUUCUUCUCAUUAAUAUGGCUUUGCUUCCCCCCAAACACUUCCUUGUGUUCAGGGUCAGCCCCUCUUCCCAGAAGCGAUGCCUCGUCUUCUCCUCCCCGAUCCCAUCUCCCCUCCAUACAAGGUCUCAACCAAGCAGAUGAGAACGAAAGAUUUAUUUUGUAAAACUCGGGGACUUCCCUGGUGGCUCAGUGGUAAGGAAUCCACCUGGCAAUGCAGCAGGCAUGGGUGAUCCCUGGUGCAGGAAGAUCCCACAUGUUGUGGGGCAACUAAGCCCGAGUGCCGCAACCACUGAGCCUGUGCUCUAAGGUCCACAGUUCCUGAAGCCCGCGGGCCCUAGAGCCCGUGCGGCACAAGAGACGCCACUGCAAUGAGAAGCCUGAGCACCACAAAUGGAGAGGCGCCAGCGCAGCCGCGAAGACCCAGCACAGACAAAGAUAAACAAACCUGUGGCCUUGGGCUCAGAGCCCGUAAAGCGGUGCAAGGCACCUCAGCCUCCCCCUGUUCCCCAGAAGAUCUUGUUUAACUCCUGCUGUUUUCCCCAGUAUUGAAAAGUUCUUGGGUUUUUUUGUUUGUUUAUGUCACGAUAAUUAACUCUGGGUGCCUAUUGCUCUCUUUUCUCUUUCCACCCAGCAAAAAGACAACAGAAGGAUACAUCUGGAAGUCUCUCCUGUCACUAGAGGGGCACACAAGUGGCCAGAGAGAGCCUCUUUUUCAUGGAACGUUCCAGGUCAACCCUCGCCUCACCUUCUCUCCCAGCUGGGAGUUACGAGCGCAGUCUUUCCCAGUUGACUCCUUUCUGCCAGGAAGGAGACUAGAGGAUUCUUCCUGGGGACCUGGCACAAGAGAAAGUCCUACUGAUGCAGAUGUUCGGUUUCCACAGAGAAAGGCACAGCAGAGGUCCUCAGCGUUGGGUAUACACAGAAAUCAACGGGGAUGCUUUAAAAAUUACUAAUGCCGGGUCCCACCCCCACAAGUCUGAUUUAGUUGUUUUGCAGGGAGAGCAGGUUCAAGAGCUCCCCAGCUGAUUCUAACAUGCAAGCAAGCUGAGCACUCUGCUGCCUGCCUGCCAGUGAAGCUCAGUCACUAAGCUCCACCCACUGCUCAGUUUCCAGUCUGAUUUUUGACGCCCCUCCCCCAAAAUGGGAGCCGACAAGCAUCAUCAGAUAUCUGAGAAACAGAUGAAGCCAAAACUAACAAAAAGCAACUGGUGGCUCAAUGCCCCCAGCAGGGAACACAUCUGUCCUGUUGGUUUGGAGCCCACGGUCACAUCCCUUGGAUAUAGUUAUAAGCUCUUCAAGUCUCCCCUUUCCACUCGGUUGUGCUCCCAGCUGUCAAGGCGCUCCUCCUGAAACUCACGUGCUGGUGUGCAGUGUCGCUGUCCUGCUCAGAGCCCUCUGUGGCUCCCCGGCGCCCUCUGAAGUACGGUGCCCACCGCCAUGGCAAGUGCUAUCAAAGACUGAGCAAAUCGCUGCUGCCCCCACCCGCUCACCCCCCAACCACUCCCCACCGCAGCUUUGGACCCUGCCUGGGCCCCACUACCUGGGAGAAGGAGAUGGGGCCAGACCCCCGAGGGGACAGCUUAUCAC
Bos taurus (domestic cattle) is the source of this 1744-nucleotide long non-coding RNA. The record is from Ensembl. Lineage: Eukaryota; Metazoa; Chordata; Mammalia; Artiodactyla; Bovidae.